This 522-nucleotide ribosomal RNA is filed under the name uncultured microorganism. Its description in RNAcentral is "bacterial SSU rRNA". It matches the Rfam family "Bacterial small subunit ribosomal RNA", at positions 9 to 520 of the family's 1533-position model. The record is from RNAcentral.
GAGUUUGAUCUUGGCUCAGGAUGAACGCUAGCUACAGGCCUAACACAUGCAAGUCGAGGGGAAACGGGAAAGCAGCUUGCUGCUUUCUGUCGUCGACCGGCGCACGGGUGAGUAACGCGUAUCCAACCUUUCCCAUAACUAAGGGAUACCCCGUAGAAAUGCGGCCUAAUACCUUAUGUACUCCCAUGACGGCAUCAGAAUGGGAACAAAGAAUUUCGGUUAUGGAUGGGGAUGCGUCUGAUUAGCUUGCUGGCGGGGUAACGGCCCACCAGGGCAUCGAUCAGUAGGGGUUCUGAGAGGAAGGUCCCCCACAUUGGAACUGAGACACGGUCCAAACUCCUACGGGAGGCAGCAGUGAGGAAUAUUGGUCAAUGGGCGUAAGCCUGAACCAGCCAAGUAGCGUGCAGGAUGACGGCCCUACGGGUUGUAAACUGCUUCUACAGGGGAAUAAAGUGAUUCACGUGUGUUUCAUUGCAUGUACCCUGCGAAUAAGGCCGGCUAAUUCCGUGCCAGCAGCCGCGC